CAAUGCUCUUCACUCUUUCUGCACCACUGCACCCACCAGGGAAUUUGCAUUUUAUCCCCAGGGAGGACCUACCCAGGCAAGUUUCAGAUAAAAGCUGGCUCUAGCUGUGCCUUGACUGAUCAGGACUCUUCAGUUCAGUUUCUCAAAAUGAAGCUACCACUUCAGCUCCUGGGGCUGCUACUGCUCUGGGUCACUGGUACGGAUACCGGGAGAUGUGGAAGGGCAGGGGACGAGAGGGUGAAUUUCUGGAUCCCACCGCUCCCUGGGUUAAUGACUACAGAAGAGAUUGAUUAUCGCACAACAUUGGACCUCUGAGUCACUGGAUGACUCGAGUGUACCGUUAUUCCUAUUUCAUCUGUCGGAAACAGCCUCAGAAGGAACAUAGUGUGCAAGACCAUUUGUUUUCUUCCUUGCGCUGGAUCCCCAGGGCUCUUCCCAUCAUUUGAACGGCACCUCCCAUCCUCCUCAUCUUCAGUCUAUUAGAGCAUACGCACCGAAGCUCUGCUGUCUGUGCUCUGACAUUAUAGGCAUGGGAUUCUGCUGUCACUGAAUAUUCUGGCCGCGGAAUACAACUACUGACAAAACACACACAAGCACACACCCACAGAGAGAAACUCAUACACAAACACACACAAUCAGAUCGUUCCUCAAAUACUACAUAGCCACAGUGUAAAAUAGCUAUAACUGUAGUUAUUAAGCAAAAUAUACUGAAAUUUUAAAAAAUCAAUAUUUUACUUUAUCUAAAACGUUGCUCUCUUGUGUGAAAUCUGUUUUUUCAUAUUGAAGUUGUUAUAUUAAUUUUGGUAUUAUUUAUUCUUCAAUCAAGAUGCUAGUCAGAUGACCCAAGGAAUACUGGCAUCCUUCCUUCAAUUUUGCAUUAAGAUAAAUGCUGCAUGACCCACACACUAAUCUGGCCCAGGAGCUCAAAGCACAGGGAUGAUUUUACAGAGCUCAUAAAGAGGAGACUGCGAGUGAUGGGCAGUGCCUUGUCACUGUGUCAGGACUCACCCUGGGGAAGGAAAACUUCUAAUGUGAAAACACAGGGUGAUUGAUGGCAACCCCAGAGACCUUCACAGACACACAAAGUGCAUUAGACUGUGGAUUGCACUGCCUGGUGAGUGAUACAGAUUUGGUCAUCUGUGUUUGGGAAGGAGACAUUUUGCAGAGGAAACAACUGAGCUUCUGACUGAGAAAAACUGUGCCUCCAUGUACUGGCUCCCACCUAAUUUCAAGCCCACAGAAAUGUUACCGACUGCUACAGGCUGAACAAGUCUGGUAUCAGCCUCAAGGUCAGAAACCAUCCUGAGCUUCAGGGAAAAUAAAGUUGAGGCUCGCUGAGUCUAUACACCACCUCAGCAUAAAGUGACUGCUGGCUUGGUGAUUUGGGCACUAUGGUAUGCACGUGCCACUCUCACCUUCCCUGGAGAAAGGAAGGAUUUAUUAUCCAGCUGCUGGGAUCACAGUGGACAGAAAGCCCUCAGCUGCCAGCCUGCUUCAGAAAGUAUCUUGGCUGAAGAGCACUGCGUGGCCCCGGGGCUGCCCUCACCCAAUCACCAGAGGUAUUCAAUGACUGGUCAGAUAACUAUAAAAGUACAACCCCAACUCCAUCCCAAUUUAUGGUCUCCAUCAGGUGGACUAAGGCUUUUAUUGAAUCUGAAUCAGCUCUAUUUCUCCUUCUGUGUAAUCUUCUCUUCCCUUCCCCAACCUCUUCUUUUUCUUCCAGAGCCGUUGAUCCCAUAACCACUCUAGCAAUCUUGUCACAUACUAAUCCUAUGUUAGAAUUUGCUUCUCCUGAUCUCAACCUGAGACAGGCACUAUUCCUUAAUGUGAUAUCAUGCUGCCUAACUCUGCCUUAGUAUCUGCCGUAAGUAUCUUAUUUUCCCAUCAAAAAUACACAAAAAUCUUAAUUGGACAGAAGACUUAAGAUUGCAACUCUGUAAAAAUUCAAAAUGUACUAUUAAAUGACUAUUUCAAAAACAAAAACAAAGAGAGAGGCCAUAGAUUUUUGUGAGUUCUUCUGGAGAAAAGCUUUGAAACUGUCUCAAAGAAAAUAUCGUAUCUCGCUUAUAAUUGAACAAAGAAAUUAUGAAGUACAUAGCUAAGAGCCGCAUAUCAAGAAUCACUGUGGAGCUAUUAUUUAUUUCUGCUGGUUCCUGGUAUUAUUAUAGCAGUUAUUCUUGAGUACUCACUAUAACAAGUGCUAAGAGCUCUGUUUGGAUUAUAAAAUAUAGGUUCAUGGUAAGCAAAUACAUGACCCAAAACCAUAGAGCCAGAACUCAAUGGUGGAUGGGGAGGACUUCAAACCCUCAACUCUUAUCUCUAUUAUACCAUAAUGCCUCCAAUGUAUUUGCAUACUCAAGCUCCAGAGGUUAACUAGUAUAGUUCACUAAGUAAUUGCAGGAGGUGAGAACAGAAGGCAGGUAUACAUGCCACAUUUUUCUCUUUGCUCCUCUACUGCCUCUGAUGAUGACUAGGACACUGGGCCUGCCUUCUAGGUGCUUAAGGACUCAUACAUGCAGUGGCCAGAAGUGACAUACAGCACAAACCUGGGCUAAGGCAAUGGAAAGGUUCUUCUGCCCUCUUGUGGUUCAGUGUGACUAUUACAUAUCCAAGCCCCAUGAAAACGCACUGAAAUACCUUAUAAAGGCACUUGGCAGCAGGCACAAAACCACAGGAGAUGACUCUCUCUGGCCUGAAGAGGACAUUUAAUAACGUGACGUUCUGAUUUUGAAAAAUAUUACUUAUGAUAAGAACGCUCAUCCUAACUACAGCUCAGAAAAAAAACAAACUAAAAACCUGUAUUACACAAUAAUAAAGAAUAUAAACACCCUCAAUAUCCAUCAAGAAAAGUGAUGAAGGUUUAAAAAUAUUCUAAGCCCCAAAUAAAACUCCUAAUCCUUGCUUUUUAUACUCAGUGAUUGUAGAACUCUUUCCAUACCAGCAAGAUAUUUAGUUCCUCAUUCUGCAGGUGCAGAGCACUCAUUGGACAGGGGAACUACCAUGGAGUAACUUGUGUCCUACAAAUGACAACUUCAAACUGCUUCCAAAUGUUUACUAUUAAAAACAAUGCUGCAGGGGCUGGGGAUUUAGCUCAGCAGCAUAAGCGCCUGCCUUGCAAGCACAUGGUCAGUCAGUUCAAUCCCUGGUAUCGAUUUAAAAAAAAAAAGUGUUUAAAAACAAUGCUGCAAAUAAACAAUGAGAUGAAUUCCUGGGAGUGGACAUGCUGGGUCAAAUGGCACAUCCACACUUACGCACCACUUCCCCUUUGAAACUUUUUCCCUCUGACUCUCUUCUGUCUCUCUGGCUGCUCCUUCUCAGCCUUCUUCCCACACUGCCUUACUUGCUCCUUCCUUAGUUGUCAGUUUACUGGGAUUUGGUCUCCAUCUCCCUUCAUCCUACAGUCCUUUCUUCUUUUCAGCAUUUGUCACCUACUCUUGUUUCCAGCUAUGAGUUUUCUUCCUGGAAGGCACCUAAGGUCAUUACAUCUUUUAAGUCCACAGUUUCAGAAUUAUUUUAUAUACUUACUACUCCUGUAUGUAAGUACAGAUAUAAUAUGCAUGCAUACAUAUGUUCAAAUAUGAAUAUAUAUAUAAUGUCCUGCCCCUUUCUACAGUAAUGGUGGCAUCACACCCUAAAUUGAAGCAGUUUUAAGGGAAUUCUGCAAGGUAGCAGUCUUUAAAGGAGAUAAGUGUGACCCUUGGUAGAGGAUAAGGCACAUGCCUGUAAUGUCGGCACUUGGGAGGCUGAGACGGCAGAAUCGUUGCAAGUUCCAACCCAGAAUAUCUUUUCGUAUGCUAUUGACUUUGUCAGUAAGUUCCCAAUUUAGGAAGGAGUUCCGGGGGGACAUUCAUAUGUUGGAUUCAUUCCUAGGUCUGACAAAGUGAGUCUUGUACAACACACUAGUGAAAGUUUGCAACCCAAAUAUUGCUAGGUCAGGGAUUUAUAUAUGUUCUUUGAAAACGUAACUAUUCAUAUUCUUGGUCCAUUUGAAAAAUGAGGUUGUCUUCAUAUCGUGUUAUAAGAGUUGUAUUGCUUACUUUUUCCCAUAUUUUCAAUUGAGAAUAAAAGAUUCCUAACUACCUAGGAAAGCACUAUCUUUUCUCUCUUGGGUGGUGACAGUGGUAUGGUACUGGGGAUCAAACCCAAGAACCUGCACAUACAUACAAGGCAAAUCCUCUACUACUAAGCUAUAUCACUAGCCACCAUUAUUCUUUUCCAGUAUCAAGAAGUAACCAUCAGAACUAUGGAUGUUCUUCAAUGUACAAUAAGGUUACAGCGGGGCUAGGGAUUUAGCUCAGCAGCAUAAGCGCCUGCCUUGCAAGCAGGCAGUCAUGAGUUCAAUCCCUGGUACUGAUAAAUACGAAAAAGACAAAAUAAUAAUAAUAAUAAUAAGGUUACGGCAUGAGACACCAUAAUUAAGCUAAAAAUAUAUUAAGUUAAAAAUGCAUGUAAUUUACCUAACCUAACCAGGCAUGAUGGUGCACAUCUAUAAUCCCAGCACUUGGGAGGCUGAGCCAAGAGGAUUACUGUGAAUUCGAGGCCAGCCUGGAACAUCUCAACAAACAAACAAACAAACAAAAAAAACUACACACACACACACACACACACACACACACACACACACACAUAAAACUUUAUCUCUUACCAAAUAUCAAAGCUUAACCUAGCUUACUUUAUUAAACAUGCUCAGGAGACUUAUACCACCCACCAAAGUUGGGCAAAACUAUCUGACACAAAAUUUAUCCAGUAAUAAAGCACUGCAUAUCUCAUAUAACCUAGUGAACACUACACUAAAAGUAAACAACAGAAAUGUAGUAUACGUAUAUUUCUGCACUCUUGAAAACGUUGGUAUAGACAAAGACUUUAUGAACAAAAGCCCGACUGCACAGUAACUAUCACACAGGAUCAACAACUGGGAUCUCACCCUACUAAAAAGCAUUUGUACAGCAGAAGAAACCACCAACAGAGUGAAGAGACAAACCCACAAUGUGGGAGAAAAUGUUUGCCAGCUGUAUCUCAGACAAAGGAUUACUAUCAAGAAGAUAUAAAGAACUCAAAAAAAUCAGUCCUCCCAGAUUUAAAGACCCAAUAGAAAGAUAGGCAUCUGAGAUGAACACACACUUCUCAGAUGAAGAAGUACAAACAGCAAAUAAAUACAGGAAAAAAUGUUCAACAUUACUGGUCAUUUGAGAGCUGCAAAUUAAAACAACACUGAGAAUCUACCUCAUCCAGAAAGAAUGACUGUUAUCAAGAAAUCUACCAAUAACAAAUACUGGAGGGGCAGUGGGGAAAAAGAACCCUUCUCCACUGGGGGUGGGAAUGCAGACUGGUGCAAGCACUGUAGAAAUCAGUGUGGAAACUCCUCAAAAAACUUUAGGAUUGAAGGUCCCAUUCAACCCAGCUAGUCCCCUUCUGAGUAUCUUCCCAAAAGAAUUAAAAACAUCAUAGCACAGUGAUAUAUGUGCACCCGUAUUUACAGCAGCACAAUUUGUAAUAGCCAGAACUUGCAAACAAUCUAAAUUACCCAUCAACUGAGGAAUGGAUAAAAAAAAAAAAAAGAUGUGGUAAUUCUUUUGAUUGGUUUUACAGUGUUUUGUUUUUGGCUUGAUUUUGCCAUACCUGAUGGGAUGGAUAACUAUUGUAAAGACAAGAUAUACUAUGGUAGCUAUUAUUUUUUUUUUCAGUAUCCUGCUUUAAAACUCUGUACUAAUUCUGCUGCACUGUCUUAUUGGCUUUGUUCUGUCUUGUUUUGUUGGAUUUUACAUCAUUAAAAUAAAAAAUUUUUUAAUUAGAUAAAAAAAGAUGUACUUUUAUGCAACAGGAAUACUACUCUGCUAUCAAGGAUAAACUGGACACUUUUACAGGUGAAUGGGUGCAACCUGGGACCAUACUCAUUAGUGAAAUAAAUAAGACACAUAUAUGUAAACACUGUAUUGUCUCAGUGUUAGAAGCUAAAAGAAACAACAUGUAUAUACGUAUGUAUGUAGAAAGAAGAUAGUUAUACUACUGAUUUCUCUGAGUUCACUGAAGAGAAAGAUUUGUGCUAGUAUUGUUCAGACAAGAAUGGCAUUUUACACUUUUGUAAAUCUUUUUUAUGUCCAGUUUACUGAAAAAAAUCUGGGCUCAGGGCUGGGGAUUUAGCUCAGUGGCAUAAGCGCCUGCCUUGAAAGCAGGCAGUCGUGAGUUCAAUCCCUGGUACCGAUAAAAAGGAAAAAGACAAAAAAAAAAAAAAUCUGGGCUCUAUUUGCUUCCACAUGCAGUAUGUCAUAAAUUGUUUGGAACAAAGUACAGAAUAUGUAAAUUUUGUCCUCUCAUAGAUUAAACAAAAAAGGAAAGAGCAUUAUACUAACCUCUUCAAAUGAUUCUGGAUACCCUGCUUAGAUACUAACCAAAACUCAAACACUAAUAGUUUCCUAUAGGUUAGUCAUAAUACGGAAUCUAGAACAAUAUUCAGACAUCAUUACUUGUGGACUUCAGGACUCAUCAAAUCUUGUACCUGUUAAAUUUUGAUGAGAAAAUGUUUUAGCACUUGGGACCAGCAUCAGUCUCAGGGUCACUCAGUAACAGUGCAAAGCCCUGACACAGCCCUCAUUCUUCUUUUGUUCUUUUGUGCAUUUGAGAUGCUAAUCAUGGGUCACAAGGUUAGGAAUGUGCUGCAAAGCCUAAAAGACUUAUAUUAGUUGAGUAAAAGACCAUAUUAUUAGUCCAGUAAAACGUGAAAGUCAUGAGGAACUUUAAUGAGUUAUUUCUAAUUACAUUUUUUCAUAUGGGAAAAAUCUGUUCAGUACUUGUCAGUCUGACACCCAUCACAAAUUCUGGAAAGAAUUAACUACAAUCACUGAGGAAUGACUGUACACGGAUGAACAUUUUCAGACCCUGUUACAUUAAAAUCCACUGCCCUCAAAGUAUAAAUAACUUAAAGAGUAAAAUAAAAGACAGAUAAUAGCUAUAGGGAGGAUAGGUCUUUUACAAAUGAGAAAAGGACUAAGCAAUGAAGACAGCAGGAGGGAAGAGAAGAGAAAGCAAAAUGAAUUAAGGUAUGUUACAUACAUGUAUCGACUCCCCAUAAUGAAUGUAAUCAUUAUGUACUGUAAAUAUGAACUAAUAAAAAAUUUUAAAAUCCAUUGCUGGGGAUGCCUCAGGGAGAGAACCAGCUAGCAUCUCCCAAGAACACACCAUGUUGGAACUUGAGGCGCUGGGAAAGAAAGCAACCCGCUCACCUCCCUGGUAAGCAGCUGUGAGCCUACUGGCACACGGGCUGAGAAUCAAGCAUCCCGUCCUUCCCUUUACCCCCACAGUUAGCAAAUGGGAGCCAGAGGCCUGAGCAUCUCUUGGGAGGUUGACCCUAUGCAAUACAGCAAAUACGGGGAUUUCCUUCUACCAUCUCUUUGAAGGCAAAUAUUUGUUUUUGGCUUUGUUCUGAUUAAUUGUAUUGUUCUAUUGAAUAUUGUUUUGAUAAGUUCUAUAAUGUUUUGAUUUGACUUUGCUAUACCUGAUUGAAAACACAACUAUUGUGAAGGUAACGAGAUAUACUACGGUACCUGUUACUGUUAUCCCGGUAACCUGUUCUGAAGUUCUGUAUCAAUUUCACUGCAUUGUCUCAAUUGGCUUUGUUCUGUCUUGUUCUGUUGUAUUUUACUAUCUUCAAAAAUUUAAAAAAAAAAAUCUAUUGCUUUAUCUAUA
This is a long non-coding RNA of Cavia porcellus (domestic guinea pig), 7683 nucleotides long. RefSeq lists it as uncharacterized. The transcript is spliced from 3 exons. The record is from RefSeq and is a predicted model, not a curated record. Lineage: Eukaryota; Metazoa; Chordata; Mammalia; Rodentia; Caviidae.